This 267-nucleotide unclassified non-coding RNA is filed under the name Ascomycota sp. RNAcentral's name for it is "partial contains small subunit ribosomal RNA, internal transcribed spacer 1, and 5.8S ribosomal RNA". The stretch from base 1 to 47 matches the Rfam family "Eukaryotic small subunit ribosomal RNA", at positions 1785 to 1831 of the family's 1831-position model. Lineage: Eukaryota; Fungi; Ascomycota. The record is from RNAcentral.
AAAGUCGUAACAAGGUCUCCGUUGGUGAACCAGCGGAGGGAUCAUUACAAGAGCGCCGAAAGGCUGCUUAAAACCAUCGCGAACCUAUCCAUCAGCGUUGCUUCGGCGGGUCGAAGGCGCGGGGUCCCCACGGGCCCCCGCGCCGGGACACACCUCUCCGGAGGUGGGGCCGCCCGCCGGAGGUACGAAACUCUUCCGAAUCUCUAGUGGAUCUCUGAGUAUACAAGCAAAUAGUCAAAACUUUCAACAACGGAUCUCUUGGUUCUG